RNAcentral lists this ribosomal RNA (491 nucleotides) under uncultured bacterium. Its description in RNAcentral is "partial 16S ribosomal RNA". It matches the Rfam family "Bacterial small subunit ribosomal RNA", at positions 29 to 507 of the family's 1533-position model. The record is from RNAcentral.
AGUGAACGCUGGCGGUAGGCCUAACACAUGCAAGUCGAACGGCAGCACAGUAAGAGCUUGCUCUUACGGGUGGCGAGUGGCGGACGGGUGAGGAAUACAUCGGAAUCUACUUUUUCGUGGGGGAUAACGUAGGGAAACUACGCUAAUACCGCCUUACGACUACGGGUUAAAGCAGGGGAACUUCCGACCUUGGCCCGUUGGAUUGAGCGAGGUCGGGUUAGCUUGUUGGGGGGGUAAAGGCCCACCAAGGCGACGAUCCGUAGCUGGUCUGAGAGGAUGAUCAGCCACACUGGAACUGAGACACGGUCCAGACUCCUACGGGAGGCAGCAGUGGGGAAUAUUGGACAAUGGGCGCAAGCCUGAUCCAGCCAUACCGCGUGGGUGAAGAAGGCCUUCGGGUUGUAAAGCCCUUUUGUUGGGAAAGAAAAGCAGCAGGUUAAUACCCCGCUGUUCUGACGGUACCCAAAGAAUAAGCACCGGCUAACUUCGUG